RNAcentral lists this ribosomal RNA (866 nucleotides) under uncultured fungus. Its description in RNAcentral is "SSU rRNA". It matches the Rfam family "Eukaryotic small subunit ribosomal RNA", at positions 107 to 982 of the family's 1831-position model. The record is from RNAcentral. Lineage: Eukaryota; Fungi.
UAUGUAUCGUUUAUUUGAUAGUACCUUACUACUUGGAUAACCGUGGUAAUUCUAGAGCUAAUACAUGCUAAAAAUCCCGACUUCGGAAGGGAUGUAUUUAUUAGAUUAAAAACCAAUGCCCUUCGGGGCUCCUUGGUGAUUCAUGAUAACUUCGCGAAUCGCAUGGCCUUGCGCCGGCGAUGGUUCAUUCAAAUUUCUUCCCUAUCAACUUUCGAUGUUUGGGUAUUGGCCAAACAUGGUUGCAACGGGUAACGGAGGGUUAGGGCUCGACCCCGGAGAAGGAGCCUGAGAAACGGCUACUACAUCCAAGGAAGGCAGCAGGCGCGCAAAUUACCCAAUCCCGACUCGGGGAGGUAGUGACAAUAAAUACUGAUACAGGGCUCUUUAGGGUCUUGUAAUUGGAAUGAGUACAAUUUAAAUCCCUUAACGAGGAACAAUUGGAGGGCAAGUCUGGUGCCAGCAGCCGCGGUAAUUCCAGCUCCAAUAGCGUAUAUUAAAGUUGUUGUGGUUAAAAAGCUCGUAGUUGAACCUUGGGCCUGGCUGGCCGGUCCGCCUCACCGCGUGCACUGGUCCGGCCGGGCCUUUCCCUCUGUGGAACCCCAUGCCCUUCACUGGGUGUGGCGGGGAAACAGGACUUUUACUUUGAAAAAAUUAGAGUGCUCCAGGCAGGCCUAUGCUCGAAUACAUUAGCAUGGAAUAAUAAAAUAGGACGUGCGGUUUUAUUUUGUUGGUUUCUAAGACCGCCGUAAUGAUUAAUAGGGACAGUCGGGGGCAUCAGUAUUCAAUUGUCAGAGGUGAAAUUCUUGGAUUUAUUGAAGACUAACUACUGCGAAAGCAUUUGCCAAGGAUGUUUUCAUUAAUCAGGA